RNAcentral lists this long non-coding RNA (771 nucleotides) under Chinchilla lanigera (long-tailed chinchilla). RNAcentral describes it as "lncRNA (ENSCLAG00000023677.1)". The record is from RNAcentral. Lineage: Eukaryota; Metazoa; Chordata; Mammalia; Rodentia; Chinchillidae.
AGGGUCAGCUUCUUUCCCUCUCAUUCUCAUCUCACAUUCUUUACUUUUGUAGUCUCAGAUGAUUCAGUCGCUUCCACGGUGCCCUCUGUCUGUGUCUUCAGCCUUCAUCUCCACCCGAAACAUGGGACCAACCCUAUAACAACUUCUGGGGACAUCUCUACUUGGAUGUUCUAAUGCACUUUUCAGAGUCACUAAAUCAUAAAUGGUUUCCUUUUAAGGUCCUGUGACUGAGACUUCCAGGGUAUAAAAGCAAGAGGCACAGGCGUGCCACAGAGUUAAUGUGGAGCAGUGAAGUUUGUGAAAAGGGUCAGAGGAGAGAAAGAGAGAAACGGCACAAGGUGGAUGUCAGAUGCUACUGGGAGAUGACCCAUCACUCAGAAUUGAAGGUCUGGGACCAUGUGACUUCUGUCUUCUUCAGAAUCAAAAAGCUCCUGAAAGGUAAAAAUUUUGAAUGGAUUCAAGACAUCAAGGCAGCUGCAACAGCACAGCUAAAAAACUCAUGAAUGAAGACGUCCAGAAGUGCUUUAGAGAGUGACAAGAGUGAUGGAUACAUGUGCUCUAAGUGAGGGGAGCGUUUUGAAGGGAAUUCACUGACCACAGUGAAUUUAGAUUAUACUUCAUAUAGGAGGAGAAAGAUACACCCAAAGCCAUCCUAAGCAGUUUACCAGAUAAUUGCAGAAUAGUAAAUAAUAUAGUCAUUAAUAUUGCAAGAUUAAGCUUCUGUCUUAUUUUGGGGGGAAUUAGAACAAGUUCAUGCAGAAUAAAGCAAUU